This 303-nucleotide ribosomal RNA is filed under the name Triticum aestivum (bread wheat). RNAcentral's name for it is "partial small subunit ribosomal RNA". Lineage: Eukaryota; Viridiplantae; Streptophyta; Magnoliopsida; Poales; Poaceae. The record is from RNAcentral.
AUGAGGUUGGUGGCCUUUCGCCCUGGAAGGAGAAAAGGAUGUCUCCUACGCUCUCAGAAACUGCUCGCCUUUCUGGCUUUUUCUCUAACUGCUGUUUGUUCUUUCCUUGUCGUCCCUUUUUUUUCCCUGUUCGCGGCAGUCUGCACAGCAAAAACAAUCGUAUUUGUUGAAAAUGAAGCCCGGAUUACCUCAAACCAAUCCUCCUGGCAACAUCUCGUGGUCAGCUCCAGGCAAAUAAGCCGUGACAUUUGCGCAAAUCGGAACUUACACGCCACUCGUAUCAAAUUACCAUACUUCCUCUGA